GCACCUGCUUGUGAAUGGUGGGUCAGGUUUAACUAAGGAGUGUAGUCAAUAACUGUUAGGUUAGCCCACAUGAUUUAGAGACCAAGUCACUGCAACAUGCUUAGAGAAGCAUAUGGGCAAAGAGUUACCUAUGCAUCGAUGUGCAUGCUACCAAUAAUUCUUAGGUGAGGUGCAUGGCAUCGAUGGGACCGUAGCACCCACUAGGAAUUCUUUAUCGCAUUAAGAUUUUUGUUUCUCACUCGAAGAG
This 247-nucleotide long non-coding RNA is filed under the name Elaeis guineensis (African oil palm). Its description in RNAcentral is "long non-coding RNA (EGUI_LNC060824)". The record is from RNAcentral. Lineage: Eukaryota; Viridiplantae; Streptophyta; Magnoliopsida; Arecales; Arecaceae.